RNAcentral lists this ribosomal RNA (207 nucleotides) under uncultured bacterium. Its description in RNAcentral is "partial 16S ribosomal RNA". It matches the Rfam family "Bacterial small subunit ribosomal RNA", at positions 568 to 774 of the family's 1533-position model. The record is from RNAcentral.
AGCGUAGGUGGUUCGGUAAGUCAGAUGUGAAAGCCCGGGGCUCAACCCCGGGACUGCAUUUGAAACUAUCGAACUAGAGUGCAGGAGAGGUAAGUGGAAUUCCUAGUGUAGCGGUGAAAUGCGUAGAUAUUAGGAGGAACACCAGUGGCGAAGGCGGCUUACUGGACUGUAACUGACACUGAGGCUCGAAAGCGUGGGGAGCAAACA